Molecule: ribosomal RNA, 311 nt
Filed under: uncultured bacterium
Lineage: Bacteria
Description: bacterial SSU rRNA
Rfam family: Bacterial small subunit ribosomal RNA
Source: RNAcentral
GACGAACGCUGGCGGCGCGCCUAACACAUGCAAGUCGAACGAGAGAGAGGAAGCUUGCUUCCUUAAUCGAGUGGCGAACGGGUGAGUAACGCGUGAGGAACCUGCCUCAAAGAGGGGGACAACAGUUGGAAACGACUGCUAAUACCGCAUAAGCCCACGGCCCGGCAUCGGGUUGAGGGAAAAGGAUUUAUUCGCUUCAGGAUGGACUCGCGUCCAAUUAGCUAGUUGGUGAGGUAACGGCCCACCAAGGCGACGAUUGGUAGCCGGACUGAGAGGUUGAACGGCCACAUUGGGACUGAGACACGGCCCAG